This is a long non-coding RNA of Trachymyrmex cornetzi, 575 nucleotides long. RefSeq lists it as uncharacterized. Lineage: Eukaryota; Metazoa; Arthropoda; Insecta; Hymenoptera; Formicidae. The transcript has 3 exons. The record is from RefSeq and is a predicted model, not a curated record.
CACAUGGAGAGAGUGGCAAACUACAUCACGUGAUCCGGUCUCCUGUCAUUGGACCUGGUAAUCAAACUCUGCAGAGCCAUGGUGGGGGUAUACCGUUUAGGUUAGAUGACUGCAAAAGCAGUACGCUUGUCACUUUGUGCUGCUUUUCUCCUCAAUUUUACAAUUGAUAAGGUCUUUAUAUCUGAACAGGAUUUGUGCAUAUUAUAAAAUGCCUGCCAGGUGCAGUGCUCCAAGAUGCAAAAACUCCAAUAAAGAAGAAUAUUGCUGCACAUCAUUUGCCCAAGAUGCAAACUCGAGACAAAAAUGGAUUGAUAUUGCCGGAAUUCCUAAUUGGAAACCUUCAAAUCAGCUUUACUGUAUUCAUUACAUUUGCAAAACAAACUUGGUAUGGCACCUUUCCUCAUAACAUUUUUGCUACCAACGUGGAAUAAUUCUGAUGGAUGGAAAUAAACCUAAAAAGUAAGAGGUACACAUUAGAGAAAAAUAUCUGUCCCACCAACUGUCAUUAACGUAACAUCAAUAUAUUAGAAUUUUUCACGCAACUACGUAAUCGUGUUACAUACACUCGCAUUAUU